This 964-nucleotide ribosomal RNA is filed under the name uncultured bacterium. RNAcentral describes it as "bacterial SSU rRNA". It matches the Rfam family "Bacterial small subunit ribosomal RNA", at positions 523 to 1482 of the family's 1533-position model. The record is from RNAcentral.
AUACGUAGGGUGCAAGCGUUAUCCGGAAUUAUUGGGCGUAAAGGGCUCGUAGGCGGUUCGUCGCGUCCGGUGUGAAAGUCCAUCGCUUAACGGUGGAUCUGCGCCGGGUACGGGCGGGCUGGAGUGCGGUAGGGGAGACUGGAAUUCCCGGUGUAACGGUGGAAUGUGUAGAUAUCGGGAAGAACACCAAUGGCGAAGGCAGGUCUCUGGGCCGUUACUGACGCUGAGGAGCGAAAGCGUGGGGAGCGAACAGGAUUAGAUACCCUGGUAGUCCACGCCGUAAACGGUGGAUGCUGGAUGUGGGGCCCGUUCCACGGGUUCCGUGUCGGAGCUAACGCGUUAAGCAUCCCGCCUGGGGAGUACGGCCGCAAGGCUAAAACUCAAAGAAAUUGACGGGGGCCCGCGCAAGCGGCGGAGCAUGCGGAUUAAUUCGAUGCAACGCGAAGAACCUUACCUGGGCUUGACAUGUUCCCGACCGCGGCAGAGAUGUCGUUUCCCUUCGGGGCGGGUUCACAGGUGGUGCAUGGUCGUCGUCAGCUCGUGUCGUGAGAUGUUGGGUUAAGUCCCGCAACGAGCGCAACCCUCGCCCUGUGUUGCCAGCACGUCAUGGUGGGAACUCACGGGGGACCGCCGGGGUCAACUCGGAGGAAGGUGGGGAUGACGUCAGAUCAUCAUGCCCCUUACGUCCAGGGCUUCACGCAUGCUACAAUGGCCGGUACAACGGGAUGCGACACGGCGACGUGGAGCGGAUCCCUGAAAACCGGUCUCAGUUCGGAUUGGAGUCUGCAACCCGACUCCAUGAAGGCGGAGUCGCUAGUAAUCGCGGAUCAGCAACGCCGCGGUGAAUGCGUUCCCGGGCCUUGUACACACCGCCCGUCAAGUCAUGAAAGUGGGUAGCACCCGAAGCUGGUGGCCUAACCCUUUGUGGAUGGAGCCGUCUAAGGUGAGACUCGUGAUUGGGACU